GAUGAACGCUGGCGGCGUGCCUAAUACAUGCAAGUCGAGCGAACAGACGAGGAGCUUGCUCCUCUGACGUUAGCGGCGGACGGGUGAGUAACACGUGGAUAACCUACCUAUAAGACUGGGAUAACUUCGGGAAACCGGAGCUAAUACCGGAUAAUAUAUUGAACCGCAUGGUUCAAUAGUGAAAGACGGUUUUGCUGUCACUUAUAGAUGGAUCCGCGCCGCAUUAGCUAGUUGGUAAGGUAACGGCUUACCAAGGCAACGAUGCGUAGCCGACCUGAGAGGGUGAUCGGCAACACUGGAACUGAGACCCGGUCCAGACUCCUACGGGAGGCAGCAGUAGGGAAUCUUCCGCAAUGGGCGAAAGCUUGACGGAGCAACGCCGCGUGAGUGAUGAAGGUCUUCGGAUCGUAAAACUCUGUUAUUAGGGAAGAACAAAUGUGUAAGUAACUAUGCACGUCUUGACGGUACCUAAUCAGAAAGCCACGGCUAACUACGUG
RNAcentral lists this ribosomal RNA (497 nucleotides) under uncultured bacterium. RNAcentral describes it as "partial 16S ribosomal RNA". It matches the Rfam family "Bacterial small subunit ribosomal RNA", at positions 28 to 507 of the family's 1533-position model. The record is from RNAcentral.